GCAUAGGCCGUGGUUUAAACUAGUCUUUCUACAGCCUGAAAAGCUCAAAAACGAUGUUUUAGUGUUUCUGCAUUGCUUUCCAUCAGAACAGCCUGUACUGGUCAUGUUGUGAUGCCAGGAUACUUUAAAACAGCUCAAUACACCCUAAAAGCACAGUUACACUUGCCGUGGUUUAAAAUAGUGUUCUUGUGUCCUGACAAGCUCAAAAACGAUGUUGUAGUGUUUCUGCAUUGGUUUCCUGCAGAACAGCCUCCAAUAGUCAUGUUCUGAUGUCAGAAUACUGUCAAACAGUCUAAUGCAUCCUAAAUGUACUGUUGCAUAGGCCGUGGUUUAAACUAGUGUUUCUAAAGCCUGAAAAGCUCAAAAACUAUGUUUUACUGUUUCUGCAUUGGUUUCUAACAAUACAGCUUAAGAUGGUCAUGUUCUGAUGCCAGGCAACUUUAAAACAGCUCAAUACACCAUAAAAGCACAGUUACACUUGCCGUGGUUUAAACUAGUGUUCUUAUGUCCUGAAAAGCUCAAAAAAGAUGUUGUAGUGUUUCUGCAUUGGUUUCUAUGAGAACAGCCUCUACUGGUCAUGUUUUGAUGCCAGGCAACUUUAAAACAGCUCAAUACACCAUAAAAGCACAGUUACACUUGCCGUGGUUUAAACUAGUGUUCUUGUGUCCUGACAAGGUCAAAAACGAUGUUUUAGUGUAUCUGCAUUGGUCUCUAUGAGAACAGCCUCUACUGGUCAUGUUCUGAUGCCAGGCAACUUUAAAACAGCUCAAUACACCCUAAAAGCACAGUUACGCUUGCCGUGGUUUAAACUACUGUUCUUAUGGUCUGAAAAGCUCAAAACGAUGUUUUAGUGUUUCUGCAUUGCUUUCCAUCAGAACAGCCUGUACUGGUCAUGAUUUGAUGCCAGGCAACUUUAAAACAGCUCAAUACACCCUAAAAGCACAGUUACGCUUGCCGUGGUUUAAACUACUGUUCUUAUGGUCUGAAAAGCUCAAAACGAUGUUUUAGUGUUUCUGCAUUGCUUUCCAUCAGAACAGCCUGUACUGGUCAUGAUUUGAUGCCAGGCAUCUUUAAAACAGCUCAAUACACCCUAAAAGCACAGUUGCAGAUGCCAAGGUUUAAACUAGUUUUCUCCUGGCCUGACAAGCUCAAAAACGAUGUUUUAGUGUUUCUGCAUUGGUUUCCUGCAGAACAGCCUCCAAUGGUCAUGUUCUGAUGCCAGAAUACUGUCAAACAGCCUAAUGCAUCCUAAAUGUACUGUUGCAUAGGCCGUGGUUUAAACUACUGUUCUUAUGUCCUGAAAAGCUCAAAAACAAUGUUUUAGUAUUUCUGCAUUGCUUUCCAUCAGAACAGCCUGUACUGGUCAUGUUUUGAUGCCAGGUUACUUUAAAACAGCUCAAUACACCCUAAAAGCACAGUUACACUUGCCGUGGUUUAAACUAGUGUUCUUAUGUCCUGAAAAGCUCAAAAAAGAUGUUGUAGUGUUUCUGCAUUGGUUUCUAUGAGAACAGCUUGUACUGGUCAAGUUCUGAUGCCAGGCAACUUUAAAACAGCUCAAUACACCCUAAAAGCACAGUUACACUUGCCG
Long non-coding RNA from Betta splendens (Siamese fighting fish), 1588 nucleotides. NCBI's taxonomy places the organism in Eukaryota, Metazoa, Chordata, Actinopteri, Anabantiformes, Osphronemidae. The record is from Ensembl.